This 370-nucleotide ribosomal RNA is filed under the name uncultured organism. RNAcentral describes it as "bacterial SSU rRNA". It matches the Rfam family "Bacterial small subunit ribosomal RNA", at positions 526 to 896 of the family's 1533-position model. The record is from RNAcentral.
CGUAGGGUGCAAGCGUUAAUCGGAAUUACUGGGCGUAAAGCGUGCGCAGGCGGUUUUAUAAGUCUGAUGUGAAAUCCCCGGGCUCAACCUGGGAACUGCAUUGGAGACUGUAAGGCUAGAGUGUGUCAGAGGGGGGUAGAAUUCCACGUGUAGCAGUGAAAUGCGUAGAUGUGUGGAGGAAUACCGAUGGCGAAGGCAGCCCCCUGGGAUAACACUGACGCUCAUGCACGAAAGCGUGGGGAGCAAACAGGAUUAGAUACCCUGGUAGUCCACGCCCUAAACGAUGUCUACUAGUUGUCGGGUCUUAAUUGACUUGGUAACGCAGCUAACGCGUGAAGUAGACCGCCUGGGGAGUACGGUCGCAAGAUUA